Molecule: long non-coding RNA, 647 nt
Filed under: Sinocyclocheilus anshuiensis
Lineage: Eukaryota; Metazoa; Chordata; Actinopteri; Cypriniformes; Cyprinidae
Description: lncRNA (ENSSANG00000007370.1)
Source: RNAcentral
GGUUCAUAUAUGCUUCUGCAAUGUAGCAAGUGGAGACUUGCAUUAUAUGCUGGCCAAAGGGCCCUUUUUGAGGCUCCAGGGCCAUCUGUACACCAAUUUAAAUGGUAUAGUCCAAUUUGAACACCCCUCUAUAUUGAGCUAAAAUGGAAGAGCCUCUUUUGCAGUGUUUGCUGGGAAGAAGAAGUACAGUCGGGAUUGGGACUUUGGAGAGGAGGUAGCAAUCUGAAGAGGUCCUUGGAAAAAAAGAAAACAAGAUCUCCAUUUGGGACAUCCAGUUUUUCUCACUGCAACCAUUGCUGUGGUAUGAGUCACGCCCACACCCUACCCUUAUAUGGCAAAGAGGGGGCGGGGCUGUUUCUCAGACCGGACAGUGAAAUGGUGGCUGCUUGUACAAAAACAGCAGCAGCACCAUUAGGAACCGAGCAGCUACAGACACAUUUACAGGUAAGAUCCGUAGCUUAGAACAUUCUCCUGCUUCUAGGUUCUACUUAACAUGCAUCCUGUGACAUGAAAAUGAAAUGAUAUUGCUGCUUCAUGUAUCUGAACGAUGCUGUUUGUCUAACCUCCCUCUUGAGCUAAUUGUGUUAGCCUGUUUACAAGCCAUCCUGCCAUUCAUUCCGCCUAGAAACCUAUUUUACCAAACCGAC